Molecule: transfer RNA, 83 nt
Filed under: Chromobacterium sinusclupearum
Lineage: Bacteria; Pseudomonadati; Pseudomonadota; Betaproteobacteria; Neisseriales; Chromobacteriaceae
Also listed under: 1 other name
Description: Chromobacterium sp. MWU13-2610 tRNA-Leu
Rfam family: tRNA
About the family: Transfer RNA (tRNA) molecules are approximately 80 nucleotides in length. Their secondary structure includes four short double-helical elements and three loops (D, anti-codon, and T loops).
Source: RNAcentral
GCCCAGGUGGCGGAAUUGGUAGACGCACUAGGUUCAGGUCCUAGCGCCCGCAAGGGUGUGGAAGUUCGAGUCUUCUCUUGGGC